This 115-nucleotide ribosomal RNA is filed under the name Acinetobacter baumannii. RNAcentral describes it as "partial 23S ribosomal RNA". The stretch from base 1 to 97 matches the Rfam family "Bacterial large subunit ribosomal RNA", at positions 2828 to 2925 of the family's 2925-position model. The record is from RNAcentral. Lineage: Bacteria; Pseudomonadati; Pseudomonadota; Gammaproteobacteria; Moraxellales; Moraxellaceae.
AAAGAGCCGUUCGAGACUAGGACGUUGAUAGGUUGGAUGUGGAAGCAUAGUGAUAUGUGAAGCUGACCAAUACUAAUUGCUCGUGAGGCUUGACUAUACAACACCCAAGCAGUUG